GACGAACGCUGGCGGCGUGCCUAAUACAUGCAAGUAGAACGCUGAAGAGAGGAGCUUGCUCUUCUUGGAUGAGUUGCGAACGGGUGAGUAACGCGUAGGUAACCUGCCUUGUAGCGGGGGAUAACUAUUGGAAACGAUAGCUAAUACCGCAUAACAAUGGAUGACACAUGUCAUUUAUUUGAAAGGGGCAAUUGCUCCACUACAAGAUGGACCUGCGUUGUAUUAGCUAGUAGGUGAGGUAAUGGCUCACCUAGGCGACGAUACAUAGCCGACCUGAGAGGGUGAUCGGCCACACUGGGACUGGGACACGGCCCAGACUCCUACGGGAGGCAGCAGUAGGGAAUCUUCGGCAAAGGGGGCAACCCUGACCGAGCAACGCCGCGUGAGUGAAGAAGGUUUUCGGACCGUAAAGCUCUGUUGUAAGUCAAGAAAGGGUGUGAGAGUGGAAAGUUCACACUGUGACGGUAGCUUACCAGAAAGGGACGGCUAACUACGUG
This 497-nucleotide ribosomal RNA is filed under the name uncultured bacterium. RNAcentral describes it as "partial 16S ribosomal RNA". It matches the Rfam family "Bacterial small subunit ribosomal RNA", at positions 28 to 507 of the family's 1533-position model. The record is from RNAcentral.